This 398-nucleotide ribosomal RNA is filed under the name uncultured bacterium. Its description in RNAcentral is "bacterial SSU rRNA". It matches the Rfam family "Bacterial small subunit ribosomal RNA", at positions 28 to 416 of the family's 1533-position model. The record is from RNAcentral.
AACGAACGCUGGCGGCGCGCUUAACACAUGCAAGUCGAACGAGAAGGCGUAGCAAUACGCUUGUAUAGUGGCGAACGGGUGAGGAAUACGUGGGUGACCUACCCUCGAGUGGGGAAGUAACCCGCCGAAAGGCGGGCUAAUGCCGCGUACGCUUCCGUCCUCGCGGGGACGGAAGGAAAGUCAUGCCGUGGGCAUGGCGCUCAAGGAUGGGCUCGCGUCCUAUCAGCUUGUUGGAGGGUAACGGCCUACCAAGGCUCCGACGGGUAGCUGGUCUGAGAGGACGAUCAGCCACACUGGCACUGCGACACGGGCCAGACUCCUACGGGAGGCAGCAGUGAGGAAUAUUGCGCAAUGGGCGAAAGCCUGACGCAGCGACGCCGCGUGGGGGAGUGAAGGUC